CUCCUUUGGCGUCGAGCGGCGGACGGGUGAGUAAUGCUUGGGAAUGUGCCUUAUGGUGGGGGACAACAGUUGGAAACGACUGCUAAUACCGCAUAAUGUCUUCGGACCAAAGUGGGGGACCUUCGGGCCUCACGCCAUAAGAUCAGCCCAAGUGGGAUUAGCUAGUUGGUAAGGUAAUGGCUUACCAAGGCGACGAUCCCUAGCUGGUUUGAGAGGAUGAUCAGCCACACUGGGACUGAGACACGGCCCAGACUCCUACGGGAGGCAGCAGUGGGGAAUAUUGCACAAUGGGCGCAAGCCUGAUGCAGCCAUGCCGCGUGUGUGAAGAAGGCCUUCGGGUUGUAAAGCACUUUCAGUAAGGAGGAAAGGUUAAGUGUUAAUAGCACUUAGCUGUGACGUUACUUACAGAAGAAGCACCGGCUAACUCCGUGCCAGCAGCCGCGGUAAUACGGAGGGUGCGAGCGUUAAUCGGAAUUACUGGGCGUAAAGCGUACGCAGGCGGUUUGUUAAGCGAGAUGUGAAAGCCCCGGGCUCAACCUGGGAACUGCAUUUCGAACUGGCAAACUAGAGUGUGAUAGAGGGUGGUAGAAUUUCAGGUG
This 599-nucleotide ribosomal RNA is filed under the name Pseudoalteromonas arabiensis. RNAcentral's name for it is "bacterial SSU rRNA". It matches the Rfam family "Bacterial small subunit ribosomal RNA", at positions 80 to 675 of the family's 1533-position model. Lineage: Bacteria; Pseudomonadati; Pseudomonadota; Gammaproteobacteria; Alteromonadales; Pseudoalteromonadaceae. The record is from RNAcentral.